RNAcentral lists this ribosomal RNA (378 nucleotides) under uncultured cyanobacterium. RNAcentral describes it as "bacterial SSU rRNA". It matches the Rfam family "Bacterial small subunit ribosomal RNA", at positions 376 to 770 of the family's 1533-position model. Lineage: Bacteria; Bacillati; Cyanobacteriota. The record is from RNAcentral.
CGAAAGCCUGACGCAGCGACGCCGCGUGGGGGAGGAAGGCUCUUGGGUUGUAAACCUCUUUUCUCAGGGAAGAAACCUGACGCUACCUGAGGAAUCAGCAUCGGCUAACUCCGUGCCAGCAGCCGCGGUAAUACGGAGGAGGCAAGCGUUAUCCGGAAUUAUUGGGCGUAAAGCGUCCGCAGGUGGCGAUUCAAGUCUGCUGUCAAAGCACGGGGCUUAACUCCGUUAAGGCAGAGGAAACUGAAUGGCUAGAGUGCCGUAGGGGUAGAGGGAAUUCCCGGUGUAGCGGUGAAAUGCGUAGAGAUCGGGAAGAACAUCGGUGGCGAAAGCGCUCUACUGGACGGCAACUGACACUCAGGGACGAAAGCUAGGGGAGCG